ACCAUCCUGUGACGUGUUUCCAUCAGCAGGGGACGGACGUGCGGAGUUUUCCUGUAAACAUAAGUGCAAAGAAACACGCAAAUGGAGACCUUGCACAUCCAGCUGGACGAUAGACGUACGACACGUGCAAGUUACGCAGUCAUCGGUUAAGAGUGCGACCGAAGAGACGACGCAACAGACGGCAGUACUGGUGACGCGGGAGUGCGGGAGUGAAAGUAACUGCUUCUGGGAUUGUACCGGGAAUCAUCUUUCACCUGUGCUCAUUAACUUGGCAACCCUAAUUAGCAGUCAUGUCGCCGCGCACCUUCCUUCACUACAGGAAAAAAAAAGCGAGCACAGCGCUGCCUCGCUGACGUCUGUGUGCGUGUGCGCACGAGCGUUACUCAUCAGUGCUGCAGAGAGCUGGUGAGAGAGAGAGAGAGAGAGAGAGAGAGAAAGAAAGGGAGGAGGGGAAGAGAAAUCUGCCGUGCUAAGUGCUUUCUCUCUCUCUCUCUCUCUCUCCUUGUCGCGAUGUUGCUGCUGGUCUUAAAUAUUUCAGGACGAUGCUGGAGGAAGAGGAGUUACAAAAGGGAAACAGGGAGGAAGAGAGAUCUGAAGAUAAAGGAAGAGGAACUAAAACAAGGAAAGAGAGGAAGGAGAAAUAACUGGAUCGUCCCAAUUUGUUUACUCGAACACUACAGUACAGGCCGUGGGCUCCGACGGAGAAAAGGGAGUACUCCUGCCCUCACUUCCUAAGGAUCAACCGUACUGCUUGGACAGUUCGGUCUAGAAAGGCUCCUCCAUAGCAAGUAGUACUUUCUCUUCUACCACAUCGAUUGUUCCACACCUGUAUGGGACCACAAAAUGGACCAGACACCUUGAACUUGCCAGUGCAUAUACGUCGUGCAACACUGCCGCCACUGUGUCCAUAAUAAGUGACUCUCCCUGCCCUCGUCCUGCCCAGUACCAGGUCAGGUCAUCCAUACCUAGUCACUUAGAACUGGAGCAGCAACAUCGUGAAUAGUAGCUACAACCAACACCACCACAAUCACCAUCAAGCUAGUGUGAAUCCAGACAUUGACAUGUAAUGGAGAUUCUCUCUCUCUCUCUCUCUCUCUCUCUCUCUCUCUCUCUCUCUCUCUCUCUCUCUCUCUCUCUCUCUCUCUCUCAGCUCACAGCCCCACAGUAUGUCCCCCCACAGUAUGUUGACUUACCCACAGUCACUUCACCACAGUCCCUCCCAAAUAAAGCCAACCCUCUCUCUCUCUCUCUCUCUCUCUCUCUCUCUCUCUCUCUCUCUCUCUCUCUCUCUCUCUCUCUCUCUCUCUCUCUCUCUCUCUCUCUCUCUCUCUCUCUCUCUCUCAACUCACAGCCCCACAGUAUGUCCCCCCACAGUAUGUUGACUUCUGUCUUAUUGCUACCUUUUUUUAAUGUAUCUUCUCUUUCUCCCCUUUCUGUCGUAUUGCUACCUUUAUUUAAUGUAUAUGU
This 1467-nucleotide long non-coding RNA is filed under the name Portunus trituberculatus (swimming crab). Its description in RNAcentral is "uncharacterized LOC123512791, transcript variant X2". Lineage: Eukaryota; Metazoa; Arthropoda; Malacostraca; Decapoda; Portunidae. The record is from RNAcentral.